Molecule: long non-coding RNA, 224 nt
Filed under: Phoenix dactylifera (date palm)
Lineage: Eukaryota; Viridiplantae; Streptophyta; Magnoliopsida; Arecales; Arecaceae
Description: long non-coding RNA (PDAC_LNC011235)
Source: RNAcentral
GGGUAGUCAAAGCAUUGGCUUGCUCAUGAUUUAGUCAAGUUUCUUGAACCACGUAUUGUCCCCUAGGAUUACUCAUUGGUUGACUUGGAAACUUACCUUCCUCUCGCUUGUUUAAUGCAUUGGCUAGUUGACCCAUUUGGGAUUCUAGCUUAGCAAUUGAUUGCGUGUGAGAGUGCAAUAGUUGUGUGUUUGCCUCCAAACCUUGAAGGGCAGUCAACACUUUC